GGCUUUGUGGAGGGAAGAAAGCCCUCCAGCCGCGGAACAGGAUGGGCAAGCAGGGUCCAGUGAAAGGGCACUGGACGUGGGUCGGGCGUGCCCCUGGCAAAGCCGAAGCCGUCUGUCUGUCCCCAGUGAUUGAGAACAGAGGAGGAAUUCCUAUCAGGGCCUUUGUGUAACAGCAGCGACUACGGCUGCCAUUAAACAACUUUGACUUCCUCUCCGAGUAGCCGAGAAACUGUCUUUCCUCAACCGAAAUGUCAAAUGAACACCGUCCUUAAAU
This 274-nucleotide long non-coding RNA is filed under the name Ictidomys tridecemlineatus (thirteen-lined ground squirrel). RNAcentral's name for it is "lncRNA (ENSSTOG00000034029.1)". The record is from RNAcentral. Lineage: Eukaryota; Metazoa; Chordata; Mammalia; Rodentia; Sciuridae.